CCUACGGGAGGCAGCAGUGGGGAAUAUUGCACAAUGGGCGGAACCCUGAUGCAGCAACGCCGCGUGGGUGAAGAAGUACUCCGGUAUGUAAAGCCCUGUCAGCAGGGAAGUAAAUGACGGUACCUGACCCAGAAGCCCCGGCUAACGACGUGCCAGCAGCCGCGGUAAUACGUCGGGGGCAAGCGUUAUCCGGAUUUACUGGGUGUAAAGGGAGCGUAGACGGGAAGGCAAGUCUGUAGUGAAAGCCCGUGGACCAACCACGGGACUGCUUUGGAAACUGUGUUGCUGGAGUGCAGGAGGGGUAAGCGGAAUUCCUAGUGUAGCGGUGAAAUGCGUAGAUAUUAGGAGGAACACCGGUGGCGAAGGCGGCUGACUGGACUGUAACUGACGUUGAGGCUCGAAGGCGUGGGGAGCAAACAGGAUUAGAUACCCUAGUAGUC
This 440-nucleotide ribosomal RNA is filed under the name uncultured bacterium. RNAcentral's name for it is "partial 16S ribosomal RNA". It matches the Rfam family "Bacterial small subunit ribosomal RNA", at positions 338 to 795 of the family's 1533-position model. The record is from RNAcentral.